UACAUGGCAAAAUCCGUAUCAUAUGUCGUAUCAUCCCGAGACAUCAAUAUCAGCCCAAGGGCCUUUAGACCCGAGGGAUGAUAUUGGUCGAGGGUGAUACGGCAUGUGAUACGGAUUUUGCCAUGUAUUAUACGCUUUAUCAUAUAUUUCAACAGAAGAGUAUUAUAUUAUAUGAACUGUUUUCUGAUCCAUAGCACUGGGUUACCUUCAGU
This 212-nucleotide long non-coding RNA is filed under the name Mytilus galloprovincialis (Mediterranean mussel). The record is from RNAcentral. Lineage: Eukaryota; Metazoa; Mollusca; Bivalvia; Mytilida; Mytilidae.